UACGUAGGGUGCGAGCGUUAAUCGGAAUUACUGGGCGUAAAGCGUGCGCAGGCGGUUUUGUAAGCCAGAUGUGAAAUCCCCGGGCUUAACCUGGGAAUGGCAUUUGGGACUGCAAGGCUUGAGUAUGGCAGAGGGGACUGGAAUUCCUGGUGUAGCAGUGAAAUGCGUAGAGAUGUGGAGGAAUACCGAUGGCGAAGGCAGCCCCCUGGGUCGACACUGACGCUCAUGCACGAAAGCGUGGGGAGCAAACAGGAUUAGAAACCCGUGUAGU
Molecule: ribosomal RNA, 271 nt
Filed under: uncultured bacterium
Lineage: Bacteria
Description: partial 16S ribosomal RNA
Rfam family: Bacterial small subunit ribosomal RNA
Source: RNAcentral